CAAAAACAUAGCCUUUAGCAACCAAGUAUUAAAGGUAACGCCUGCCCAGUGAACUUAAACGGCCGCGGUAUCCUACCGUGCAAAGGUAGCGUAAUCACUUGUCUUAUAAAUAAAGCCUGUAUGAACGGCUAAAUGAAUAUUUAACUGUCUCCUCUGACUAAUUAGUGAAACUGAUCUUUCAGUACAAAAGCUGAAAUAAUUAAAUAAGACGAGAAGACCCUGUGGAGCUUUAAGUUAUUAUCAAAAAAUUUUCACAAAAAAUUCUUAUGAGAGUAAACUUUUAGUUGGGGCGACUUUGGAGUAAAACAGAACCUCCAAGAAAAGGCACCGCCUAAAUAGGACAACAAGCCAAAACAAUAAGACCCAGUACCACUGAUCAACGAACCAAGUUACCCCAGGGAUAACAGCGCCAUCUUCUUCAAGAGUCACAUCGACAAGAAGUUUACGACCUCGAUGUUGGUCAGGACACCCAAAUGGUGUAGCGCUAUUAAAGGUCGUUGUUCACGAUUAAUAGUCCUACGUGAUCUGAGUCAGACCGGAGC
Molecule: ribosomal RNA, 542 nt
Filed under: Anolis charlesmyersi
Lineage: Eukaryota; Metazoa; Chordata; Lepidosauria; Squamata; Anolidae
Description: partial 16S ribosomal RNA
Rfam family: Bacterial large subunit ribosomal RNA
Source: RNAcentral